This 124-nucleotide transfer RNA is filed under the name Xanthomonas cannabis. RNAcentral's name for it is "tRNA-OTHER". Lineage: Bacteria; Pseudomonadati; Pseudomonadota; Gammaproteobacteria; Lysobacterales; Lysobacteraceae. The record is from RNAcentral.
GGGCCGCAAGGGUUUGCAGAGGUUGGUCCGGGAAAAUAAGACGGCUUAACCUAUUGAUCUUGAAUCUUACUCGACCUAACUUUUAAUCUUUUGGUCGAUGGUUCGAAUCCAUCACGGCCCACCA